This 496-nucleotide ribosomal RNA is filed under the name uncultured bacterium. Its description in RNAcentral is "partial 16S ribosomal RNA". It matches the Rfam family "Bacterial small subunit ribosomal RNA", at positions 28 to 506 of the family's 1533-position model. The record is from RNAcentral.
GAUGAACGCUGGCGGCGUGCCUAAUACAUGCAAGUCGAGCGAACAGACGAGGAGCUUGCUCCUCUGACGUUAGCGGCGGACGGGUGAGUAACACGUGGAUAACCUACCUAUAAGACUGGGAUAACUUCGGGAAACCGGAGCUAAUACCGGAUAAUAUAUUGAACCGCAUGGUUCAAUAGUGAAAGACGGUUUUGCUGUCACUUAUAGAUGGAUCCGCGCCGCAUUAGCUAGUUGGUAAGGUAACGGCUUACCAAGGCGACGAUGCGUAGCCGACCUGAGAGGGUGAUCGGCCACACUGGAACUGAGACACGGUCCAGACUCCUACGGGAGGCAGCAGUAGGGAAUCUUCCGCAAUGGGCGAAAGCCUGACGGAGCAACGCCGCGUGAGUGAUGAAGGUCUUCGGAUCGUAAAACUCUGUUAUUAGGGAAGAACAAAUGUGUAAGUAACUAUGCGCGUCUUGACGGUACCUAAUCAGAAAGCCACGGCUAACUACGU